This 250-nucleotide ribosomal RNA is filed under the name uncultured prokaryote. RNAcentral's name for it is "partial 16S ribosomal RNA". It matches the Rfam family "Bacterial small subunit ribosomal RNA", at positions 524 to 774 of the family's 1533-position model. The record is from RNAcentral.
CACGUAGGGGGCGAGCGUUAUCCGGAUUCAUUGGGCGUAAAGCGCGCGCAGGCGGCCGCUCAAGCGGGACCUCUAAUCCGGGGGCUCAUCCCCCGGCCGGGUCCCGAACUGGGCGGCUCGUGUCCGGUAGGGGAGGUCGGAAUUCCCGGUGUAGCGGUGGAAUGCGCAGAUAUCGGGGAGAACACCGAUGGCGAAGGCAGACCUCUGGGCCGCGACAGACGCUGAGGCGCGAAAGCUAGGGGAGCGAACA